UCAAGUAAUUAAGUGCAUGUGGUGGAUGCCUUGGCAGUCAGAGGCGAUGAAAGACGUGAUAGCCUGCGAAAAGCUCCGGGGAGGCGGCAAAUAUCCUUUGAUCCGGAGAUGUCUGAAUGGGGGAACCCACCUACUUUAAGGUAGGUAUUGCAACAUGAAUACAUAGUGUUGCAAGGCGAACGAGGGGAAGUGAAACAUCUCAGUACCCUUAGGAAAAGAAAUCAAUUGAGAUUCCCUCAGUAGCGGCGAGCGAACGGGGAUCAGCCCAUUAAGUUAUGUGUGUUUUAGUGGAACGCUCUGGGAAGUGCGAACGUAGAGGGUGAUAUUCCCGUACACGAAAGGGCACACAUAAUGAUGACGAGUAGGGCGAGGCACGUGAAACCUUGUCUGAAUAUGGGGGGACCAUCCUCCAAGGCUAAAUACUCCUGACUGACCGAUAGUGAACCAGUACCGUGAGGGAAAGGCGAAAAGAACCCCUGUGAGGGGAGUGAAAUAGAUCCUGAAACCGCAUGCAUACAAGCAGUGGGAGCACCUUCGUGGUGUGACUGCGUACCUUUUGUAUAAUGGGUCAGCGACUUAUAUUCAGUAGCGAGGUUAACCGUAUAGGGGAGCCGUAGGGAAAUCGAGUCUUAAUAGGGCGUUUAGUUGCUGGGUAUAGACCCGAAACCAGGCGAUCUAUCCAUGAGCAGGUUGAAGGUUGGGUAACACUAACUGGAGGACCGAACCCACUGUCGUUGAAAAGCCAGGGGAUGACUUGUGGAUAGGGGUGAAAGGCUAAUCAAGCCUGGUGAUAGCUGGUUCUCCCCGAAAGCUAUUUAGGUAGCGCCUCGGACGAAUACCAUAGGGGGUAGAGCACUGUUUCGGCUAGGGGGUCAUCCCGACUUACCAAACCGAUGCAAACUCCGAAUACCUAUGAGUACUAUCCGGGAGACAGACUGCGGGUGCUAACGUCCGUAGUCAAGAGGAAAACAAUCCAGACCGCCAGCUAAGGCCCCAAAAUCAUAGUUAAGUGGGAAACGAUGUGGGAAGGCAUAGACAGCUAGGAGGUUGGCUUAGAAGCAGCCACCCUUUAAAGAAAGCGUAAUAGCUCACUAGUCGAGUCGGCCUGCGCGGAAGAUGUAACGGGGCUAAAACUAUGUGCCGAAGCUGCGGAUGUAUACUUUGUAUACGUGGUAGGGGAGCGUUCUGUAAGCCGAUGAAGGUGUGUUGAGAAGCAUGCUGGAGGUAUCAGAAGUGCGAAUGCUGACGUGAGUAACGACAAAACGGGUGAAAAACCCGUUCGCCGAAAGACCAAGGGUUCCAGUCCAACGUUAAUCGGGGCUGGGUGAGUCGACCCCUAAGGCGAGGCCGAAAGGCGUAGUCGAUGGGAAAAUGGUUAAUAUUCCAUUACUUCUGUGUAAUGCGAUGAGAGGACGGAGAAGGCUAAAUCAGCCUGGCGUUGGUUGUCCAGGUGAAAGGAUGUAGGCAUGUAUCUUAGGCAAAUCCGGGGUACUCUAUGCUGAGAUCUGAUAGCAAGCUGUACUUGUACAGCGAAGUGGUUGAUGCCAUGCUUCCAGGAAAAGUCUCUAAGCUUCAGUUACACAGGAAUCGUACCCGAAACCGACACAGGUGGUCAGGUCGAGUAGACCAAGGCGCUUGAGAGAACUCUGCUGAAGGAACUAGGCAAAAUGGUACCGUAACUUCGGGAGAAGGUACGCUGUUGUUGGUGAUGGAACUCGCUUCCUGAGCUGACGACAGCCGCAGAAACCAGGCCGCUGCAACUGUUUAUUAAAAACAUAGCACUCUGCAAACACGAAAGUGGACGUAUAGGGUGUGAUGCCUGCCCGGUGCUGGAAGGUUAAUUGAUGGGGUUAGCGUAAGCGAAGCUCUUGAUCGAAGCCCCAGUAAACGGCGGCCGUAACUAUAACGGUCCUAAGGUAGCGAAAUUCCUUGUCGGGUAAGUUCCGACCUGCACGAAUGGCAUAAUGAUGGCGGCGCUGUCUCCAGCAGAGGCUCAGUGAAAUCGAAAUCGCUGUGAAGAUGCAGUGUACCCGCGGCUAGACGGAAAGACCCCGUGAACCUUUACUGCAGCUUGACACUGAACUUUGACCUUACUUGUGUAGGAUAGGUGGGAGGCUUUGAAGCUGGAACGCUAGUUCCAGUGGAGCCGUCCUUGAAAUACCACCCUGGUAAUGUUGAGGUUCUAACUCUGUCCCGUGAUCCGGGACGAGGACCGUGUCUGGUGGGUAGUUUGACUGGGGCGGUCUCCUCCUAAAGAGUAACGGAGGAGUACGAAGGUGCGCUCAGCGUGGUCGGAAAUCACGCGUAGAGUAUAAAGGCAAAAGCGCGCUUAACUGCGAGACCCACAAGUCGAGCAGGUACGAAAGUAGGUCUUAGUGAUCCGGUGGUUCUGUAUGGAAGGGCCAUCGCUCAACGGAUAAAAGGUACUCUGGGGAUAACAGGCUGAUACCGCCCAAGAGUUCAUAUCGACGGCGGUGUUUGGCACCUCGAUGUCGGCUCAUCUCAUCCUGGGGCUGAAGCAGGUCCCAAGGGUAUGGCUGUUCGCCAUUUAAAGAGGUACGCGAGCUGGGUUUAGAACGUCGUGAGACAGUUCGGUCCCUAUCUACCGUGGGCGCUGGAAAUUUGAGAGGAUCUGCUCCUAGUACGAGAGGACCAGAGUGGACGAACCUCUGGUGUACCGGUUGUGACGCCAGUCGCAUCGCCGGGUAGCUAUGUUCGGAAGGGAUAACCGCUGAAAGCAUCUAAGCGGGAAGCCAUGCAAGACAACUUGAUUUAGUUAUACCUCUAGCUAAAAUGAACAGAUAAAGUAAGAUUCAAUCAGCCCAGUCUGUUACAGAUUUGGAAAACGCUUCGGCAUUAAAUAAGACCCAGGCAAGUAUCCAUAAACAGUUGUGCUGGCGACCAUAGCAAGAGUGAACCACCUGAUCCCUUCCCGAACUCAGAAGUGAAACCUCUUAGCGCUGAUGGUAGUGUGGGAUUACCCAUGUGAGAGUAAGUCAUCGCCAGCUCAUUAUU
Molecule: ribosomal RNA, 3015 nt
Filed under: Acinetobacter baumannii
Lineage: Bacteria; Pseudomonadati; Pseudomonadota; Gammaproteobacteria; Moraxellales; Moraxellaceae
Source: RNAcentral